This 72-nucleotide transfer RNA is filed under the name Strongylocentrotus purpuratus (purple sea urchin). It matches the Rfam family "tRNA". From Rfam's summary of the family: Transfer RNA (tRNA) molecules are approximately 80 nucleotides in length. Their secondary structure includes four short double-helical elements and three loops (D, anti-codon, and T loops). The record is from Rfam by way of RNAcentral. Lineage: Eukaryota; Metazoa; Echinodermata; Echinoidea; Camarodonta; Strongylocentrotidae.
GCCUUGAUAGCUCAGUUGGUAGAGCAGUGGUCUCAAAAUCCACUGACCCGGGUUCAAAACCAAGUCGAUGCG